RNAcentral lists this non-coding RNA (30 nucleotides) under Mus musculus (house mouse). The record is from RNAcentral. Lineage: Eukaryota; Metazoa; Chordata; Mammalia; Rodentia; Muridae.
UGAGAUGCUGUACCAAAAUGUGCCGUUGCA